This 474-nucleotide ribosomal RNA is filed under the name uncultured bacterium. RNAcentral's name for it is "bacterial SSU rRNA". It matches the Rfam family "Bacterial small subunit ribosomal RNA", at positions 328 to 793 of the family's 1533-position model. The record is from RNAcentral.
CUCUGUGACUCCUACGGGAGGCAGCAGUGGGGAAUAUUGCACAAUGGGGGAAACCCUGAUGCAGCCAUGCCGCGUGUGUGAAGAAGGCCUUCGGGUUGUAAAGCACUUUCAGUAGGGAGGAAGUUAGUGUAGUUAACACCUGCAUUAUUUGACGUUACCUACAGAAGAAGCACCGGCUAACUCCGUGCCAGCAGCCGCGGUAAUACGGAGGGUGCGAGCGUUAAUCGGAAUUACUGGGCGUAAAAGCGCAUGCAGGCGGCCUGUUAAGUCAGAUGUGAAAGCCCCGGGGCUUAACCUCGGAAUUGCAUUUGAAACUGGCAGGCUAGAGUCUUGUAGAGGGGGUAGAAUUUCAGGUGUAGCGGUGAAAUGCGUAGAGAUCUGAAGGAAUACCAGUGGCGAAGGCGGCCCCCUGGACAAAGACUGACGCUCAGAUGCGAAAGCGUGGGGAGCAAACAGGAUUAGAUACCCUGGUAG